Molecule: long non-coding RNA, 304 nt
Filed under: Elaeis guineensis (African oil palm)
Lineage: Eukaryota; Viridiplantae; Streptophyta; Magnoliopsida; Arecales; Arecaceae
Description: long non-coding RNA (EGUI_LNC075840)
Source: RNAcentral
CAUGAUGAUUUAUAAGCAACCCAUUGUACUUUAAUACCUGACCAUCUGAAUUUCUAACUCAGUGACAGAAGACUACUGGGUGCAGUCAAGUACUUAUCAAGUCGAUGUGUGAGUCAAGAUAGAAUUGAUCCCUCUAAAUCAGUAGGAGAUAUGCAUUAGUGUAUUUCAAUUCAGUAAAAUUUUGGCCAGAAUAAUCCAUAAGAUGGAUUUGAAAGGUUGAGAUACAAUAUGGUCGACUAAAUUAGGAUUGACAGUUAAACCCUAGGUCGUCUUAAGUAUUUGGGUCAAAGUGAUGAAUUAUACG